Molecule: ribosomal RNA, 398 nt
Filed under: uncultured Neocallimastigomycetes
Lineage: Eukaryota; Fungi; Neocallimastigomycota; Neocallimastigomycetes
Description: eukaryotic LSU rRNA
Rfam family: Eukaryotic large subunit ribosomal RNA
Source: RNAcentral
GUUCUACCUUGACGAAUUGUAGUUUAAAGAAGUGUUUUCUGUUAGAGGAGUAGCAAAAGUUCCUUGGAAUGGGACAUCAUAGAGGGUGAGAAUCCCGUAUUUGGUUAUUCUUUCUAGCUUUGUGAUACACUUUCAAAGAGUCGGAUUGUUUGGGAAUGCAGUCCAAAAUGGGUGGUAAAUUUCAUCUAAAGCUAAAUAUUGGCGAGAGACCGAUAGCGAACAAGUACCGUGAGGGAAAGAUGAAAAGAACUUUGAAAAGAGAGUUAAACAGUACGUGAAACUGUCAAAAGGGAAGCGUUUGACACCAGUGUUGUUUUUCCGAAAAUCAAUUAAGAAGGGCUUGAUUUUGUGUUGUAUUGACCUUAUCAGCUUUCUUCACUCUUUUUCGAGUCUUUCUU